GUCAAGGAUGAUCUGACUCUCUGCCGCGUCCUUAUUGACGGUUCCAGUCUAAACAAAGUGCUGCUUUAAGAACUACGUCUCGACCACGGAAUUCGAAAUACGAACCAACGUUUGACCACUUCGGCUACGCGUCAAUAUUUACAAAUUUUCAUCAUCGCUAUCGCGACAUCGUAUUUCGAACCGCUUCCUUUGUUUUUUCAAAACAUCUACGAAUAUCAUCCGAACAAAAGACAGAACUGAAAGAGAAAGCGGAUUCCGCGAAAUCAAUAAUAAAUGCAAAAGAAUUGAAUUCUUUGAGACGAAAGAUGUUCGAAUUUAUUCUCAAGUUUUUGUACUGGAAUAACUUUAUGCAUAUCCCUUUAAGUUUCAAGUAAAAUUGCGACUCUUUCAAUUAUGCGUACUCUUGCUGAUAUUGGUUCCAUAAACGAAUCUAUUCUAGGUGU
Molecule: unclassified non-coding RNA, 443 nt
Filed under: Bombus terrestris (buff-tailed bumblebee)
Lineage: Eukaryota; Metazoa; Arthropoda; Insecta; Hymenoptera; Apidae
Description: misc RNA ENSBTSG00005023518.1
Source: RNAcentral